AAUCUUCCGCAAUGGACGAAAGUCUGACGGAGCAAUGCCGCGUGAGUGAUGAAGGCCUUAGGGUCGUAAAACUCUGUUGUUAGGGAAGGAUAGGUAUCGGAGUAAUAUGCCGGUACUUUGACGGUACCUUACCAGAAAGCCCCGGCUAACUACGUGCCAGCAGCCGCGGUAAUACGUAGGGGGCGAGCGUUGUCCGGAAUUAUUGGGCGUAAAGGGGGCGCAGGCGGUUUCUUAAGUCUGAUGUGAAAUCUCGUGGGUUAACCACGAGCGGUCGUUGGAAACUGGGAAACUUGAGUACAGAAGAGGAGAGUGGAAUUCCACGUGUAGCGGUGAAAUGCGUAGAAAUCAGGAGGAAUACCGGUGGCGAAGGCGGCUUUCUGGACUGACCCUGACGCUGAGGUGCGAAAGCGUGGGUAGCAAACA
RNAcentral lists this ribosomal RNA (423 nucleotides) under uncultured bacterium. Its description in RNAcentral is "partial 16S ribosomal RNA". It matches the Rfam family "Bacterial small subunit ribosomal RNA", at positions 360 to 774 of the family's 1533-position model. The record is from RNAcentral.